CUGAAUAGUUCACUCUUCUGCCAUGAAUAUUGAGGGCAGGGGGGCCAUUCAGUGUGUGGGGGUGUCUAUCAGAGUCUAGUGAGCUUGAAUUCAGGUCUAGGCUAGAAUGGAGGCAGAGGGAACAGCAGAGUCACGCUCAAGUGACAUUUGGGAUCUUAGAAGCAGUCAGGGGUAAGUAAGGAGGGGGCCAAGGAUAGAGCAAACUUGAGCCUGGGAGACUGGAAAGAGGAAGAUAUUCCUAACGAGAGUUUUUUAGGGGGUGAGCAGAGAGGAGGUGUUUUUGGUGGCAAGGCUUCUUUGGGAAGCAGCCCACCUCCGUCCCUGGAGGUGCUGUCCUGGAUGACGGUGGUGACGGUGGCUAACUCUGGCAUAGAGCCUGGGUCUCUGACCCCAGGGCCAGCACCAGGGAGUGAGUGUGACCUUAGGCUCUCCCCUCUCAGAACUUCAGCCCUGACCCCUCCCUUGAGAAGGGUCUGAGGUCGGCCACCUCCUGGCCACAAGCCUGCUCAUGACCCUGCCCCUGGAACUCACCCAGGAAGUGAACAGGGGCAUCUGACUCCCGGUACCACCCGCGUGGCCUCAGGCCGGAGGGGAGUGGGAAGGAAGGUCAGGAGCGGCACCUCUGGCAUCCCCUCCCCACGCCUGCCUGCAGCUCCUGCGGCCAUGGGGGUUUGUGGGAGGCACUUUAGGUGAUGCUGAGAAACCACAGGAAUGACGCGGCCUUCUGGGAAGCUGUGCUGGAGAGGAAAGCAGGUGAGAGCCGGGAGGGGGGGCUCGUGCUGGCCGAGGCCUCUCCUGUGGGAGCCUCCUGCUUCCCCCCCCGGGCGCCUAAGCCUGUGAAACCCUGGUGUGUGCUGCACUGGCCCGGUAAGGAGGAGGCCCCCCUUCACUUCUCUCAGGUUUGGUUUUUUACAAGAUUCAUUUAUUAACUAUGAUACAGAUCACAUAAGGCCUUUUGUUUUUUACACCAUUCCCAUUGAGACAAGUACAAUACUUUGUAGCAAAUACAUGAUUCUUUUUAUGCAAACAAUAACUUAGG
This 1039-nucleotide long non-coding RNA is filed under the name Homo sapiens (human). Its description in RNAcentral is "HSALNT0260932". Lineage: Eukaryota; Metazoa; Chordata; Mammalia; Primates; Hominidae. The record is from RNAcentral.